ACUCAAAUUCAUACUAAGAGAAUUUUACACACUGCCCAUCCAUCACUCUCUCCCUCCUUUCUCUCCAAACCUCUCUCUCUCUCUCCCUUUUUUCUCCUUCUCUCUUCCUCUCUCCCUCUCUCUCUUCUCUUCUCUUUUCUCCCUCCCUCUCUCUCUCUCUCCCUUUUUUCUCCUUCUCUCUUCCUCUCUCCCUUUCUAUCUCUUCUCUUUUCUCCCUCCCUCUCUCUCUCUCCCUUUUUUCUCCUUCUCUCUUCCUCUCUCCCUCUCUCUCUUCUCUUCUCUUUUCUCCCUCCCUCUCUCUUUCUCUCUCUCCCUUUUUUCUCCUUCUCUCUUCCUCUCUCCCACUCUCUCUUCUCUUCUCUUUUCUCCCUCCCUCUCUCUCUCUCUCUCCCCUUACUCUAUCUCUGUCUCUCUCCCUCUCUGUUUCUCUCUUUGUCUCUCCCUCCCCUCUCUUCUCUCUUUGUUUUUGCAAAGCAUUUUCUUUUUUUUUUAAUGUCCUAUUUAUUUAGUUUGGGGUUUGUUUUACAGAUUUACAAUUACAGAUAUGCCACACUAAAACUCCCUUGAAACAAACAAAAAAAAGUGAAGGAAAACCUAAAGAAAUUGAUCACAUAAUUGUCUCACACUAUAGGAAGUAUCCAAGACCCCUAGCCCCCCAUUUCUCUGCUGGCAGUGCUCCCUCUGCCAAAAAUCAGAAUAGCUAUUCAUUCCAAAGUUGGAGGAAACAACAAAAGGAAAUUCUACUCUAGAACGGAUUCUCACUCAUAAGGAAGAAAUUAAAAGGAAAAUACUCAUUCCAUCUUUUUUGUUUUCAAACCCUUACUAAAAAAAAAAAAGCUUUCAAUCCUUACCUUUCAUCUUAGAAUCAAUGCUGUGUAUUGGUUCCAAGGCAGAACAGUAAGGGCUAAGCAAUGGGGGUGAAGUGACUAUCCCAGGGUCACACAGCUAGGAAGUGUCUGAGGCUAGUUUUGAAUCCAAGACCUUCUGGAUCCCAACCUGCCUCUUAAUCCACUGAGCUACCUAGCUACCCACAUAACCAUUCCAUCUUAGAAAUUAGGAGGCAAGGAUCGAGGAGAGGCAUAUUAGCUGUCUUUAAAUAUCACAUAAAAGAGAAAUUCUACUUGUUCUACUUGGCCUCUUGAGAACAGUAUUAGGUACAAUUUGGAAAAGUUGGAAAAAAGCAAUUUUAGGCCUAGAGCAAAAAAAAAAAACUUUCCUAAUAUAAGUCCCCUUUUGGCUAUGCUCUCCCAACUUACACUUGCAAUUUGGAUUCCCCAGGGCACUAUUAUCUCCAUUUCAAGGUACUCUGUGAGUGUGUAUUAUUAAAACUAUAGCUCACAAGCACCUAUUAAUAUGUUUGCCUUUCAGGAGUCAGCUAAUUAAGUCAACACCAAGGCAUUUACUAAAAUGGCAACCAAACAUCUCUCCCAUAAACUUGGAGCAUAGACUCUCACGGAUAAACAUAGCAUCCAUGGGAAGGAUGGAUAGCCAUGGAAUUCAUAAAUGGGAGAGUCACACAAGUAGGCAAAAGAACUUACCUCCAACAUCUCCCUCCCUCCCCUCAUUG
Molecule: long non-coding RNA, 1567 nt
Filed under: Monodelphis domestica (gray short-tailed opossum)
Lineage: Eukaryota; Metazoa; Chordata; Mammalia; Didelphimorphia; Didelphidae
Description: lncRNA (ENSMODG00000046130.1)
Source: RNAcentral